GACGAACGCUGGCGGCGUGCUUAACACAUGCAAGUCGAACGGAAAGGCCCUGCUUGCAGGGUGCUCGAGUGGCGAACGGGUGAGUAACACGUGGGUGAUCUGCCCCUUACUUUGGGAUAAGCCUGGGAAACUGGGUCUAAUACUGGAUAGGACCAUGCUGAAGGUGGUGUGGUGGAAAGAUUAGUUUCGGUAAGGGAUGAGCUCGCGGCCUAUCAGCUUGUUGGUGGGGUAAUGGCCUACCAAGGCGUCGACGGGUAGCCGGCCUGAGAGGGUGGACGGCCACAUUGGGACUGAGAUACGGCCCAGACUCCUACGGGAGGAAGCAGUGGGGAGUAUUGCACAAUGGGAGCAAGCCUGAUGCGGCGACGACGCGUGGGGGAUGACGGACUUCGGGUUGUAAACUCCUUUCAGCCAUGACGAAGCCCUUGUGGUGACGGUAGUGGUAGAAGAAGCACCGGCUAACUACGUG
This 469-nucleotide ribosomal RNA is filed under the name uncultured bacterium. Its description in RNAcentral is "partial 16S ribosomal RNA". It matches the Rfam family "Bacterial small subunit ribosomal RNA", at positions 28 to 507 of the family's 1533-position model. The record is from RNAcentral.